AAAAGUUUUAAGUUAAAUCAAACUAAUAAUCUUCAAAAUUAUAUAUAAAUAAAUUUUAUUUAAACUUU
This 68-nucleotide transfer RNA is filed under the name Sericostoma personatum. RNAcentral describes it as "tRNA-Trp". The record is from RNAcentral. Lineage: Eukaryota; Metazoa; Arthropoda; Insecta; Trichoptera; Sericostomatidae.